This 338-nucleotide unclassified non-coding RNA is filed under the name soil metagenome. RNAcentral describes it as "partial contains 5.8S ribosomal RNA, internal transcribed spacer 2, and large subunit ribosomal RNA". The stretch from base 1 to 119 matches the Rfam family "5.8S ribosomal RNA", at positions 36 to 154 of the family's 154-position model. The record is from RNAcentral.
AUGAAGAACGCAGCGAAAUGCGAUACGUAGUGUGAAUUGCAGAAUUCAGUGAAUCAUCGAAUCUUUGAACGCACAUUGCACCUCUCGGUAUUCCGGGAGGUAUGCCUGUUCGAGCGUCAUUUGUACCCUCAAGCUCUGCUUGGUGUUGGGUGUUUGUUCCGCCUCUGUGUGUGAACUCGCCUCAAAACAAUUGGCAGCCGGCGUACUUGUUUCGGAGCGCAGCACAUUUUGCGAUCCAGAUCAACGUACAGCGGCAUCCAAGAAGCCUUAUUUAACGCUCUUGACCUCGGAUCAGGUAGGGAUACCCGCUGAACUUAAGCAUAUUAAUAAGCGGAGGA